GCAUAUCAAUAAGCGGAGGAAAAGAAACCAACCGGGAUUGCCUUAGUAACGGCGAGUGAAGCGGCAAAAGCUCAAAUUUGAAAUCUGGUACCUUCGGUGCCCGAGUUGUAAUUUGGAGAGGGCAACUUUGGGGCCGUUCCUUGUCUAUGUUCCUUGGAACAGGACGUCAUAGAGGGUGAGAAUCCCGUGUGGCGAGGAGUGCGGUUCUUUGUAAAGUGCCUUCGAAGAGUCGAGUUGUUUGGGAAUGCAGCUCUAAGUGGGUGGUAAAUUCCAUCUAAAGCUAAAUAUUGGCGAGAGACCGAUAGCGAACAAGUACAGUGAUGGAAAGAUGAAAAGAACUUUGAAAAGAGAGUGAAAAAGUACGUGAAAUUGUUGAAAGGGAAGGGCAUUUGAUCAGACAUGGUGUUUUGUGCCCUCUGCUCCUUGUGGGUAGGGGAAUCUCGCAUUUCACUGGGCCAGCAUCAGUUUUGGUGGCAGGAUAAAUCCAUAGGAAUGUAGCUUGCCUCGGUAAGUAUUAUAGCCUGUGGGAAUACUGCCAGCUGGGACUGAGGACUGCGACGUAAGUCAAGGAU
Molecule: ribosomal RNA, 572 nt
Filed under: Saccharomyces cerevisiae (brewer's yeast)
Lineage: Eukaryota; Fungi; Ascomycota; Saccharomycetes; Saccharomycetales; Saccharomycetaceae
Description: eukaryotic LSU rRNA
Rfam family: Eukaryotic large subunit ribosomal RNA
Source: RNAcentral